GCCCUGGUGGUGCAGUGGUUAAGCACUUGGCUGCAAACUAAAAGGUUGGUAGUUCAAACCCACUCCGUGACU
This 72-nucleotide transfer RNA is filed under the name Loxodonta africana (African savanna elephant). It matches the Rfam family "tRNA". Rfam says of the family: Transfer RNA (tRNA) molecules are approximately 80 nucleotides in length. Lineage: Eukaryota; Metazoa; Chordata; Mammalia; Proboscidea; Elephantidae. The record is from Rfam by way of RNAcentral.